UGCACAACUAGGUGAGUACAAGUAGGUGAGUACACACACACACAAUGCUGAGCCCCUCCCUCAAAAAAAAAAAAAAAAUCACGGAUGAGAAAGAAAAAAAACAGCCUUUAACAUUUUUGCAAACUGUAUUUUUGUAUGAGCGUGUUUGUAUUAGCGGCGGCCAGGAGGUGGUGGCGGGUGGCAGCAACCCGAGGCAUUACCGGCCAGGAGGUGGUGGCGGGUGGCAGCAACCCGAGGCAUUACCGGCCAGGAGGUGGUGGCGGGUGGCAGCAACCCGCAGCAUUACCGUCGACGCAGUAGUCCGAGUCUUUUGCAGUAUUUUCAUACUUUUAGGGGGGGGGGGGGGGGAAGUAGUUUGGCAGUUUACGGUUUUGAGACAGGUAAACUUUAAUAAAUUAUUCCUAAAGGAAAACACAGCUAUAAGUUGUAGGAAAUGUAAUUAUGUAAUUGUUGUGGGUUGAGUGUAAUGCCUUAAUCCGCGCUGUUGUGUCUUGAUCCCUGCCUGUUACUGCUGGCCUGCCCCGGCGUGGCCCGGGUCUCUCUCGUGUACUUGGGGUGCACUCUCUAGUGUCUUACUCGCACAUGUGCUGGGUGCCACACACACACACUACAUGUGCUGGGGGCCACACACACACUACAUGUGCUGGGGGCCACUCACAC
Non-coding RNA from Procambarus clarkii (red swamp crayfish), 660 nucleotides. NCBI's taxonomy places the organism in Eukaryota, Metazoa, Arthropoda, Malacostraca, Decapoda, Cambaridae. The record is from RefSeq and is a predicted model, not a curated record.